AUUUUCGGAUAAUCGCAUGAAAAACAGGUUUUUUCAUGAGGAAAGUCCAUGCUAGCACGAGCUGAGAUGCUCGUAGUGUUUGUGCUAGGUGAAACAAUAAGCCUAGGGACGCCAUUGGCGUUACGGCGAGGAAAAGGGCUAAGUCUUUGAUAUGCCUUAGUACCUCUGAAAGUGCCACAGUGACGGAGUUUUUAUGGAAACGUAAAAAAUGGAACGCGGUAAACCCCUCAAGCUAGCAACCCAAACUUUGGUAGGGGCACGAGAUAGCUGGAAAUGAACGGACUAUCUUGACUGGAAACAGUAGACAGAUGAUUAUCGAAGGAAGUGGUACCUAGUCACUUCUGGAACAAAACAUGGCUUAUAGAA
RNAcentral lists this RNase P RNA (366 nucleotides) under Streptococcus hillyeri. RNAcentral describes it as "Bacterial RNase P class B". It matches the Rfam family "Bacterial RNase P class B". From Rfam's summary of the family: Ribonuclease P (RNase P) is a ubiquitous endoribonuclease, found in archaea, bacteria and eukarya as well as chloroplasts and mitochondria. The record is from Rfam by way of RNAcentral. Lineage: Bacteria; Bacillati; Bacillota; Bacilli; Lactobacillales; Streptococcaceae.